Rhizopus microsporus is the source of this 73-nucleotide non-coding RNA. Lineage: Eukaryota; Fungi; Mucoromycota; Mucoromycetes; Mucorales; Rhizopodaceae. The record is from Rfam.
GCUUCCUUGGCUCAGCCGGUAGAGCGUCAGUCUCAUAAUCUGAAGGUCGUGAGUUCGAUCCUCACAGGGAGCA